This 923-nucleotide ribosomal RNA is filed under the name uncultured archaeon. Its description in RNAcentral is "bacterial SSU rRNA". It matches the Rfam family "Archaeal small subunit ribosomal RNA", at positions 1 to 933 of the family's 1478-position model. The record is from RNAcentral.
UUCCGGUUGAUCCUGCCGGACCUGACUGCUAUCGGAUUGAUACUAAGCCAUGCGAGUCUCUGUAGUAAUACAAGGCAGACGGCUCAGUAACACGUAGUCAAUCUACCCUAUGGACGAGGAUAACCUCGGGAAACUGAGAAUAAUACUCGAUAGAUCAUUAUGCCUGGAAUGGUUUAUGGUCGAAAUGAUUUAUCGCCGUAGGAUGGGACUGCGGUCUAUCAGCUUGUUGGUGAGGUAAUGGCCCACCAAGGCUAUAACAGAUACGGGCUCUGAGAGGAGAAGCCCGGAGAUGGGUACUGAGACACGGACCCAGGCCCUAUGGGGCGCAGCAGGCGAGAAAACUUUGCAAUGUGCGAAAGCACGACAAGGUUAAUCCGAGUGUUUUCUGCUAAAGAAAUCUUUUGUCAGUCCUAAAAACACUGAUGAAUAAGGGGUGGGCAAGUUCUGGUGUCAGCCGCCGCGGUAAAACCAGCACCUCAAGUGGUCAGGAGGAUUAUUGGGCCUAAAGCAUCCGUAGCCGGCUCUGUAAGUUCUCGGUUAAAUCUAUACGCUCAACGUAUAGGCUGCCGGGAAUACUGCAUAGCUAGGGAGUGGGAGAGGUAGACGGUACUCGGUAGGAAGGGGUAAAAUCCUUUGAUCUAUUGAUGACCACCUGUGGCGAAGGCGGUCUACUAGAACACGUCCGACGGUGAGGGAUGAAAGCUGGGGGAGCAAACCGGAUUAGAUACCCGGGUAGUCCCAGCUGUAAACUAUGCAAACUCAGUGAUGCACUGGCUUGUGGCCAGUGCAGUGCCGCAGGGAAGCCGUUAAGUUUGCCGCCUGGGAAGUACGUACGCAAGUAUGAAACUUAAAGGAAUUGGCGGGGGAGCACCACAAGGGGUGAAGCCUGCGGUUCAAUUGGAGUCAACGCCGGGAAUCACUAG